CCUACGGGUGGCUGCAGUGGGGAAUAUUGGGCAAUGGGCGCAAGCCUGACCCAGCAACGCCGCGUGAAGGAAGAAGGCUUUCGGGUUGUACACUUCUUUUGACAGGGAAGAGUAGAAGACGGUACCUGUCGAAUAAGCCACGGCUAACUACGUGCCAGCAGCCUCGGUAAUACGUAGGUGGCAAGCGUUGUCCGGAUUGACUGGGGGUAAAGGGCGUGUAGCCGGGGUGACAAGUGAGAUGUGCAAUCCUGCGGCUUAACCGCAGAACUGCAUUUGAAACUGUUGAUCUUGAGUACUGGAGAGGCAGACGGAAUUCCUAGGGGAGCGGUGAAAGGCGUAGAUAUUAGGAGGAACACCAGUGGCGAAGGCGGUCUGCUGGACAGCAACUGACGGUGAGGCGCGAAAGCGUGGGGAGCAAACAGGAUUAGAUACCCGGGUAGUC
Molecule: ribosomal RNA, 442 nt
Filed under: uncultured bacterium
Lineage: Bacteria
Description: partial 16S ribosomal RNA
Rfam family: Bacterial small subunit ribosomal RNA
Source: RNAcentral